AAUACACUACUGUUUAAUUGAUACAUCAAUGGUCUUUUUUGAAAACAUACACUCAUCAAUCUUCUCCUUAAACGUGAAAAUCCAGAAUCAUGAUAAAUAACAACUUCCAAUAUAUCGUUUAAGUCCAACCACACAGCUCCCCAUGUUGCUAUUCAAAAACCACUUCUCCUCAUUCUUUGAAUCUAACGCUAUAAAUUUUCUCUCUGUCUUCAAUCAACACAACCCUCCACCUUCACAUCUACCUCAACAAUCCUCUGUAGUCUCCUUCCCUUUCUUCUUCGUGUUACCUCUAUCUGUUGCAACGUUCCUCUAAAUUCGUUGUUUGUUGAAGAUAACUGGAGUGUGAAGGGAAUCAGCAAAAAAUUUGUUUUUCUGUUAUUUUGCUCUUUCCGGGUUUGGUUUAGGAUUUUUAGGUUAUUUAUUUAUUUAAUUUUUGUUGAAAGGAAAAAGAAGCAUCGCUUAAAAUGAUUCAAGAUUUGACUAAACACCCAACCUUCAAUCAAUCAAGAAUGCAGAAGAUUCAGCUUGCACAAUUUGCAUUAAAUAGAAGCAGAAGAAGUCGGAAUAAGCAUAUGCACUAUUCGGCCAGGGUAUGUAGGUACGAUUGAUGUGAGGAGCUGAUGUGAGGAGCUUCAAUGGUACUCUGAAUUUCGAAUAGGUUGGCUAGGUUGAGGAAUAGUGAAAAGUACUGUUUGAUGAUGCUGUGAGUAAUUUGUGUUGUUAAUCGAAGUUAAUUAAUGAUUAUUUUAAUUUAUUAAAGUUUAUUUUAUUUAACAAUUUGUGCUAAUUUAUUUGUUUGUUUUGUUGCAAGGAUCAAUUAGUUGUUAUUGCUCAUGCAGCAGAGAAGAACAAGAAUCAAUUAGCUGUUUAUUUUAUUUUGUUAGUUUUUGAAAAUUUUGAAGGUAUUUUUUUGAAAAGGUGUAUAUGUUAAUCUGUUUUGUUGGAGUUUUGUUGAAAUUUGAACGAUGUUGGUUGUAGAUAUUAUUACUUGAGGUUGUCAAUGAAAAGCUGGGAAACAUGUUGAAUAUGAAGUUAUUGUCAAGGAUAAUGAAUUGGUUGCAACUGAAUACAUUGAUGAUACAUACAAGUUAUUCAAACUUAGUGUUGUACCUCUUUUUGUUUUGUGUUUUUUCUCUUGUGUGUUGAUUUCAGUUCAAAUUGUUUUGAGCUUCAACACUGAUUAUCAUCUCUCACUGCAGAGAAGAAUUAAACAUAAAUUUACGUGAAGCGGAUUCAUAAUAAAAUAAUUGUGUGGUAAAUUUUCUCGAUUUUGUCCUGGUGAUGGCAUAGAAGUUGGGAAACUCAUACGACCACUUCAAUGAAAGAUCUUUCAGAACAAGCAACAUUAAAUUGUCUACAAGAAUUAUUAGCAGCUUCAUUAGUUUUUGCAGUGAAAGAUAUUUUAGAGCAAGCAACAUUAAAUUGUCUAUAGGAAUUAUUAGCAGCUUCAUUCUAUGAAUCGGAUGUGACAAUUAGAGUUUCAUAUGCAUAUUGGAACUGCAAGAUGUGUGUUGUGUUAAAACUUGGAUUCUAUAUUGGAACUGCAAGAACUUGGAUUCUAUAUUGGAACUGCAAGAAAAUUGUUAUAUCAAUGGGAAUGUUUUAAAGUAUAUUGAAAUGUAUUGAAAAUAAAAAUGAAUUAAACAAAAUAAUUUGGAAUGUUUACAAUUUUUU
This is a long non-coding RNA of Vicia villosa (hairy vetch), 1674 nucleotides long. RefSeq lists it as uncharacterized. The record is from RefSeq and is a predicted model, not a curated record. The transcript has 5 exons. Lineage: Eukaryota; Viridiplantae; Streptophyta; Magnoliopsida; Fabales; Fabaceae.